AAAUAAAUAAUCAAAUUGCGCACAAUUCCUCUCUCUCUCUAUCUACACUCUGUGUCCGUACCCUCUGUACGGAAGACUCUAUUUGGAAUCAUAGCCGUAAGAAGUGGGUAGUCUUGUUUCUAAUUGAGAGGCGAAAUCCAAACUCCAAAUCCAGAUUGAGGAUUCUAACAUCGUUCCUUCAAAUUCACUUCCUCAUUUGUGUUUUUCGAAAGGUCAUGGCGGGGGAAAAAAUCAUAGUUAUAUGUCAAUCUGGGGGUGAAUUUGUGAAUGGUAAAGAUGGUACAUUGUCUUACAAGGGAGGUGAUGCUCAUGCCAUAGACAUUGAUGAUCAGAUUAAGUUUAAUGACUUUAAGACGGAAGUUGCGGAGAUGUUCAAUUAUAGCAUCAAUUCGAUGUCUAUUAAAUACUUUCUUCCCGGAAACAAGAAGACCCUCAUUACGAUUUCAAACGACAAGGAUUUAAACCGCAUGAUAAAGUUCCAUGGGAAUUCUGCCACGGCAGAUGUUUAUGUCAUAAUGGAAGAGGUUGUCGCGCCGGAUGUCUCGAACAUGCCCGCCAGUAGGUCGAGCAGGACGACUUUGUCGGAAACUGUGGUUCCAAUUGAUGCCGCCCCUGAUGUCGUGAAUGAUGUUGUGGGUGAUACUGCCCAACACGAUAUGGCAAUCGAUGUUGCCGAUGAUAAAAACCAAGUUGAUGCUCAGGUCGGUGUGCCAGCUGGGGUUGCACCCAUUUUUCCUCUUGUUGGUCCAAACAAUGAGAAGAAUGCUAAAUCUGCGCAGCAGUGGCAGAAUUCUAUAACUGGUGUGGGUCAAAGAUUCAGUGGUGUUCAUGAAUUUCGAGAGUCAUUGCGUAAAUAUGCCAUUGCGCAUCAGUUUGCAUUUAGGUAUAAGAAGAAUGAUAGUCAUCGGGUGACUGUCAAGUGCAAAGCGGAAGAUUGCCCUUGGAGAAUUCAUGCAUCGCGGUUGUCAACUACUCAAUUGAUAUGCAUUAAGAAAAUGAACCCGAUCCAUACUUGUGAAGGAGCUGUUGCAACAACUGGGCAUCAGGCGACUAGGAGUUGGGUGGCAAGCAUUAUUAAGGAGAAGUUAAAAGUUCUCCCAAAUUAUAAGCCCAAGGAUAUCGUAAAUGACAUCAAGCAAGAAUACGGAAUACAGUUGAACUACUUUCAAGCCUGGCGUGGGAAGGAAAUUGCAAAGGAGCAGCUUCAGGGAUCAUACAAAGAGGCAUAUAAUCAGUUACCUUCCUUCUGCGAGAGGAUAAUGGAGACCAAUCCGGGUAGUCUAGCCAAUUUUACCACUAAGGAAGACUCCAGUUUCCAUCGCCUGUUUGUCUCAUUCCAUGCCUCACUGUAUGGUUUCCAACAAGGUUGCAGGCCUCUGCUUUUCCUCGAUGCCUUACCCUUGAAGUCAAAGUACCAAGGCACUUUAUUAGCUGCAACAUCGGCAGAUGGGGACGAUGGCGUUUUCCCUGUUGCUUUCGCUGUGGUUGAUGCAGAGACUGAUGACAACUGGCAUUGGUUUUUAUUACAACUUAAAUUAGCAUUAAUAACAUCUUGUCCACUGACAUUUGUGGCAGACAGACAGAGGGGUUUAAAGGAAUCGAUUGCAGAGAUAUUCAAGGGUUCUUUCCAUGGUUACUGCCUACGGUACUUGACUGAGCAACUUCUUAAAGACCUGAAAGGACAGUUUUCUCAUGAGGUGAAACGCCUAAUGGUUGAGGAUUUUUAUGCUGCUGCUUAUGCACCAAAGCCCGAAAGCUUCCAAAGGAGUAUUGAGAGCAUCAAAGGUAUUUCACUGGAGGCUUACAAUUGGAUUGUACAAAGUGACCCACAGAACUGGGCAAAUGCCUUUUUUCAGGGUGCCAGAUAUAACCACAUGUCAUCAAAUUUUGGGGAGUUGUUCUACAGUUGGGCUUCUGAUGCACAUGAGUUGCCAAUAACUCAAAUGGUUGACGUAAUAAGGGGUAAGAUUAUGGAGUUGAUGUAUACACGGCGGACAGAAUCUAACCAGUGGUUGACAAGGCUCACUCCAUCCAUGGAGGAAAAGCUAGAAAAAGAAAACCAGCAAGUCCGUGGACUUCAUGUGUUACUGUCAGCUGGUAGCACAUUUGAGGUCCGUGGUGAUUCGAUUGAAAUUGUAAACAUUGAUCACUGGGACUGUAGUUGCAGGGGGUGGCAGCUUACCGGUUUGCCUUGCUGCCACGCAACUGCUGUCAUUAGUUGUUUAGCUCAAAGCCCCUAUGAUUAUUGCUCAAGAUAUUACACAACCGAGAGCUACAGAUUAACAUACUCAGAGUCAAUCCAUCCUGUUCCAAACGUGGAGAUGCCUUUGCUGCAAGAUUCUUCUAAAACUACUCUAGCUGUAACCGUAACCCCUCCUCCUACACGUCGUCCUCCAGGACGGCCCACAACAAAGAAACAAGGAUCACAAGACAUGUCUAAACGUCAACUGCAGUGCAGCCGAUGUAAGGGUCUCGGCCACAACAAGUCCACCUGCAAGGAAAUAGUAUGGAGCGCUACGACAGUAAUCGACAUUUUAACAUGGCAAGGCUGAUCAUCUCCAUUUUUGCAUUGCCAGUUAGUCAACCAUUUACACGUCUCAUCUGAAGCAGAGUGUUUAUUACAUAUCCAUGUGCUUCAUUCAUGCACGUCUAGUAUUUGAUUGGCAGUGAUUGCAUCACUGGACCAACAGCAUCAUAAUCUGUACAUCUAACAAGCUCUUUACGAGGGACAGAGAUUUGGAGGACCCCAUAUUUUUGUUUAAGAUAACUUAAAUGUAUGUAAUUAUUAGUUUCUCUGCAUUUCUUUCCUUCUCUAGUUGUAAUGUCAAUCAACUUGGGUACCUGGUAUUAUGAAGAUUUAGAUUUAGUGCCCAUGUAUUAGGAUAAAACUAUUCACUUAGAAAAUUAGUUUGAGGUUGCACUCUCUGUCAGCCAGAUUUACAGGACAUUACUUCUUGAUUUAACUUUUUUUGUAAAAGAUGACCCAUCUCUUGGUACUUCUGAAUGGUGAAAUACAGCUUAUAAUGGAUGUUUCUCAUUCAUGAUUUCGAGUUCCAAAGUUGAUACAAAGAGGUUUGGAGAUGCCCGUGAUUUUCAACGUCAAGACUCGAAAGGCUCAUUUUCUUGUUUGGGGUCACAAGGGCAGAAAAAUCCAAACUGGGCCCGAGGAUCAAAAUGUUUAUCUAUACCGCAAGUAGGCUCCACCUUUGAUCAUAAAGACUAAACAGAAAGAAAAUGAGCAUGGGUGUAUCUUGUUUGGAGAAAUUUAUGAGCCAAGUCUAUU
Molecule: RNA transcript, 3283 nt
Organism: Morus notabilis
Lineage: Eukaryota; Viridiplantae; Streptophyta; Magnoliopsida; Rosales; Moraceae
Exons: 5
Source: RefSeq, a predicted model, not a curated record